CCAGCAGCUCAGUGUAGAACAAAGAAGCUUUUUCUUAUUCUUGACACAAAAGCAUAGGUCUUCCGAAGCAUGUAUGCCAGUAUUCAAUUUGCUAACAUCGUACAGAAACUAAUAAUGCAGGUAACAGGUGCAUGAAAAAAUAAAAAUGGAACUUCUAGCUGCAGUUACUUUUAGGGCUUGGAAUGUGAGUGAGCAUCCGUCCUUUGCCCUUCGGGGUCCGGAAUUCCGGGAUGCAGCGCUGGCCUGCUCCUUCCAAAUCCAGUUUCCUUUUGGCCUGGGAAUCCGAGACAGAGAAAGAAAGAAAAGCCAAGCCAUGGUAAGAUUAUAGACUCAAAAUGAGGAGGAAGAAAUUGGUUAUUAAUAGUUUUGUAUCUCUCAUUAAUACAGAAAGGAGGACUAUAAGGAUGAUGGGAUUCCCCUAUGGGAAAAGUUACAGUGUUCCAUUUAGGGGGAAAAGAGACAUCUCAAUGGAGGAGGCCAGCAUCCCAAAGAUUAGACCAAAGCUAACCCACCUUCCAAUGAAGUCAAAAGUGCAAAAGGAGGGAGGGGUUUAAACAGCGCCUAACAUGCCCACUGGGAGAAAAAGGGGCUCUUAAAGCAAUGUGGAGUACAGGCACACAGAAUGAAAGGAAAAGCAGGUGAAGCUCUCAUGGUAGAGAAUGUAUCUAGAGAAGUUGGCAGUCAAUGGACCACAGCUUAGAAGCUUAAACAUCCUUCUGAGAAAACUCCUCAAAUCCUUCAGCCAAUAUACCCAGUGAUCAUGCUGGCUGGAGAUUUAGGAUACUCAAACCACAUGGGAAAAAAAGUUCUGAAAUUUCAACCCUACUAAAACCCAAAUACGUGCUGAGGUUCUUUACCAAGACCUCAAAAAUGUAGGAGAAAAAUGCAUUGAGUGCAAUCACUGCUUAUAUCAAAGCCCACACCUGUCAGAGAGCAUCAAAAGCACACCAGAGAAGCUACAGAGAUCUGAGAUUCAAUUCAGCCCUUGGGAGGACAGCAGAAACGAACGAUUCACUGGUCUUGAGAGGUAGAGCGAUGACUCCAGGCUUUCCUGCCAGUUCUAAGUAUUUGG
Molecule: long non-coding RNA, 1072 nt
Filed under: Pogona vitticeps (central bearded dragon)
Lineage: Eukaryota; Metazoa; Chordata; Lepidosauria; Squamata; Agamidae
Description: lncRNA (ENSPVIG00000017151.1)
Source: RNAcentral